Molecule: ribosomal RNA, 253 nt
Filed under: uncultured bacterium
Lineage: Bacteria
Description: partial 16S ribosomal RNA
Rfam family: Bacterial small subunit ribosomal RNA
Source: RNAcentral
UACGGAGGGUGCGAGCGUUGUCCGGAAUCACUGGGCGUAAAGGGCGCGUAGGCGGCGCGGGAAGUCAUCGGUGAAAGUUCAGGGCUCAACUCUGAAUCGGCCGGUGAUACUCUCGUGCUCGAGCACUGUAGAGGCAGGUGGAAUUCCGGGUGUAGCGGUGGAAUGCGUAGAGAUCGGAAAGAACACCAACGGCGAAAGCACUCUGCUGGGCCGACACUGACACUGAGAGACGAAAGCUAGGGGAGCGAAUGGG